GCUGCGGGGUGCCCGGGGGGAUGGCCCAGCGCCGGCUGUGCCCGUGGGGAGGUGCCCGCGGGGGUGUCCUGGGGGCCAGCGUGGAUUCGUGCCCGGUGGGGUGACCUGAAGCCUGGUGUGUGCUCGUACAGGAAUCCAGUGCAGUGUCCCAGUGCUCACUGUGUGUUCUGGGUGCCCAGUGCAGUGUCCCAGUACCCACUCUGUGCUCAUACAGGUACUCAGGGUGCUGUCCCAGUACCCACUGUAUGCUGUGGGAACCCAGUGCAGUUCCCAGUACCCACUCUGUGCUCGUACAGGUGCCCAGGGUGCUGUCCCAGUGCUCACUGUAUGCUGUGGGUGCCCAGUGCAGUGUCCCAGUACCCACUCUGUGCUCGUACAGGUGCCCAGGGUGCUGUCCCAGUGCUCACUGUGUGUUCUGUAGGCUUCCAGAGCUGUGCCCCUGUCCGCAGUGUGUGCUGGCACCGGAUCCAGGGGCAGUGCCCCUGUGCGUGCCCAGAGCACCAAGGCCCAGUUGGUCCAAGUGUCCAGGACAGGGAGAGGGAGGGAGGA
Non-coding RNA from Taeniopygia guttata (zebra finch), 549 nucleotides. The record is from RefSeq and is a predicted model, not a curated record. NCBI's taxonomy places the organism in Eukaryota, Metazoa, Chordata, Aves, Passeriformes, Estrildidae.